CAGCAGCCGCGGUAAUACGAAGGGCGCGAGCGUUACCCGGAUUUACUGGGCGUAAAGGGCGUGUAGGCGGCCUGGGGCGUCCCAUGUGAAAGGCCACGGCUCAACCGUGGAGGAGCGUGGGAUACGCUCAGGCUAGAGGGUGGGAGAGGGUGGUGGAAUUCCCGGAGUAGCGGUGAAAUGCGCAGAUACCGGGAGGAACGCCGAUGGCGAAGGCAGCCACCUGGUCCACUUCUGACGCUGAGGCGCGAAAGCGUGGGGAGCAAACCGGAUUAGAUACCCCGGUAGUCCCUGUCUCUUAUAA
RNAcentral lists this ribosomal RNA (301 nucleotides) under uncultured bacterium. Its description in RNAcentral is "partial 16S ribosomal RNA". It matches the Rfam family "Bacterial small subunit ribosomal RNA", at positions 509 to 809 of the family's 1533-position model. The record is from RNAcentral.